RNAcentral lists this transfer RNA (74 nucleotides) under Pteridomonas sp. YPF1301. Its description in RNAcentral is "tRNA-Ile". It matches the Rfam family "tRNA". Rfam says of the family: Transfer RNA (tRNA) molecules are approximately 80 nucleotides in length. The record is from RNAcentral. Lineage: Eukaryota; Dictyochophyceae; Pedinellales.
GAAUUAUUAGCUCAGUUGGUUAGAGCAUACUCUUGAUAAGGGUAAUGUCUUUGGUUCAAUUCCAAAAUAGUUCA